Molecule: ribosomal RNA, 253 nt
Filed under: uncultured bacterium
Lineage: Bacteria
Description: partial 16S ribosomal RNA
Rfam family: Bacterial small subunit ribosomal RNA
Source: RNAcentral
UACGUAGGGGGCGAGCGUUGUCCGGAGUUACUGGGCGUAAAGCGCACGCAGGCGGUCUGCUAAGUUUGGAGUGACAGUUGGUGGCUUAACUGCCAAAGUGCUUCGAAAACUGACAGACUUGAGGGCUUCAGAGGGACACGGAAUUCCGGGUGGAGUGGUGAAAUGCGUAGAGAUCCGGAGGAACACCAAAGGCGAAGGCAGUGUCCUGGGGAGUACCUGACGCUGAGGCGCGAAAGCUAGGGGAGCAAACAGG